RNAcentral lists this ribosomal RNA (529 nucleotides) under Irenimus sp. AM-2018. RNAcentral describes it as "partial 16S ribosomal RNA". It matches the Rfam family "Bacterial large subunit ribosomal RNA", at positions 1811 to 2612 of the family's 2925-position model. The record is from RNAcentral. Lineage: Eukaryota; Metazoa; Arthropoda; Insecta; Coleoptera; Curculionidae.
AAACAUGGCCUUUUGAUUAUAAUUUAAGGUNUGACCUGCCCAAUGAGUUUUUAAAUGGCCGCGGUAUUUUGACCGUGCAAAGGUAGCAUAAUCAUUAGUUUUUUAAUUGAAAGCUGGAAUGAAAGGUUGGAUGAGAAAAUAUCUGUCUCUAUUUAAAUUUUUUAGAACUUUAUUUUUAAGUAAAAAAGCUUAAAUGUAAAUAGAAGACGAGAAGACCCUAUAGAGUUUUAUUUAUAUUUUAUAAAGAGUUUAUAGAAAUAAUUUAUUUUUUAUAAGUAAUAAAUUUAAUUGGGGUGAUUGAAAAAUUUAAUAAACUUUUUUUUUAUUGAAACAUUAAUUUAUGACUAUUUGAUCCUUAUAUAAAGAUUAAAAGAAAAAAUUACCUUAGGGAUAACAGCGUAAUUUUUUUAGAGAGUUCAAAUCGAAAAAAAAGAUUGCGACCUCGAUGUUGGAUUAAAAUAUAAUUUUGGUGUAGAAGCUAAAAUAUUUGGGUCUGUUCGACCCUUAAAAUUUUACUUGAUCUGAGUUC